Molecule: long non-coding RNA, 1813 nt
Organism: Anguilla rostrata (American eel)
Lineage: Eukaryota; Metazoa; Chordata; Actinopteri; Anguilliformes; Anguillidae
Exons: 2
Source: RefSeq, a predicted model, not a curated record
CUGCCCGAAUUAUAUCUUCAACUGAAUGGAAAAUCUCGACCUAAUGCUCAAUCUGGCAAAGACUGAGAUGUUAAUCUCUGUCAUGUCUUCUUCCUCCGUUGGCGACCUCCCUUUCCUGUCUCAGUUUAAUCCUAGCGCUAGGAACUUCGGAAUGGCGCUAGACAACAAAGUUAAUACUGCCAACACCACAGCGGUCGGUCGAGUGCGCAGAUUCCUUCCUUUACAAUAACAUCAAGACUUCGCGCCCGUUUUUCGGUUAGCUGCAAACAGACCGUAUUAGCAUGUAGUCACGGCACAUUAUCUUUCCACUUUUCAGUGAUAUACAACAGCAAGAGUAGCACAGCCACAAACAUUACCACCAGCAUGAUUUAAAUUUUUAAAAAUUUUUUUUUACAUGUAACCUAACUCGAACAGGUAGACAAGUUAGCAAGAUACUAUUGCCUUGUACUUAGUUGUCCACGCUACAAAAACAAUUAAACACCAGCAAACAGUCACGGACGUUUUAUGGGACAGAUUUUCACGUAAAGUUAUUCCAAACUGCAAUGAAUACAUCAAAUACAUCUUCAAAGCAAACGUCGGACCUGACAACUUUCACUUCAAACAAGUUCUGGAGUGCGCAAGUGCGCACUUGGCGGCAUGACUGUUGGCUACGGACCAUAGAUGCGGCAUUCCGGACACAGCUAGAACGCUUCCUUUCACCAGAUUAAGACAUCUAGUGUGUAAGAAACACCUGUCUGGCUGUAAUUACAUGUUGCUGACACAAUGCCCCAUCAUAAAAACAUACUUCUUUACUUGAUUUUUACUGAUUAUGUGGUAACCCAAUAAGGUCUUUGUUUGCUUUCAAAUAUUUAGUAAAAAAUGGGACAAGGAAAAUGAGGGUAAAAGGCUUAGCAUAAAUAAUGUAAUUAAUAAACGUGUUCAAUGAUAUUCAAAAAAUCCUCACCACCAGAACAUUCUUAUCAAUGCUGCUCUGACAUUCCAUACCCACAAUGCAUGGCAUCGUUACCCUUACUAAUGCAUCCCAUCCUGAAUAUCUUGGUGCACAGAACAUCGAUUCCUAAUUUAUACACCUGCCUCAUUGUUUGAAAUCACUGGAUCUGCAUGCUGUAUAUAUACAUAUUGCCAUUAUAUAUUUGGCAUAAACAGAUGCAAAAAAAUUGCACACACAAACCUAUGAGUGCACAUGAGCAUCUACGAGUUUGUCAUUAUUAUAAUAAAUAUUAAACUUAGAUGUAGGGUGGAUUCAGCAAAUGUGGGACAUCAGCAAAAGUGGGACACUUAAGCUUUGCAUUACUCUACUAUGUACGAAUCAACAGCCAAUAAAAAAUAAAAAAAACAUUCUUGAAUUGUUGCUACAAUUGUUACUGUCAUUCAACAAUUGUUUUUAUUGGACUGACGUCUUUGCAGUGGGCAUCAGUCCAAUAAAAGUUUUUGAUAGUCUCCUACUGAAUCUACCAAAAAGUGUCCCACAUUUGCUGAAGCCACCCAACUUUACAGAAAUGAAGAUUUCAGUAUACAUUAUCAGGAGUACAUAAUGAUUGUAGGAGAUACUUUGUAAAGCAGAAUCUGAUUCUCUUUAUCGUGCGCAUGAUAGAACAUGGUGAGCGUGAGCACAGGUGUGUCUGAGGAGACCAGGUGAGCGUACGUUACCUAUUGCCACCAGGCCGACAGACACUAGCGUCAGGAACAGCAGCAUGUCGGAGUCUUCAGGGGCCGACGGGCAGUUUGAAGAAAGGGCAGGGAUGGGGGGUCCCUCUGCUGGAUGAGAAGAUGAGUCCCACUGCCAAGAGCGAGCGACAGAGAGCGAGAGACG